This 300-nucleotide ribosomal RNA is filed under the name uncultured Nocardioides sp. RNAcentral describes it as "bacterial SSU rRNA". It matches the Rfam family "Bacterial small subunit ribosomal RNA", at positions 114 to 413 of the family's 1533-position model. Lineage: Bacteria; Bacillati; Actinomycetota; Actinomycetes; Propionibacteriales; Nocardioidaceae. The record is from RNAcentral.
CACGUGAGUAAUCUGCCCUUCACUUGGGGAUAACGUCCAGAAAUGGGUGCUAAUACCCGGUAUUCCUAUUCUCACGCAUGUGGUGGUGGGGAAAGGUUUUUCUGGUGGGGAGUGUGCUCGCGGCCUAUCAGCUUGUUGGUGGGGUAAUGGCCUACCAAGGCUUUGACGGGUAGCCGGCCUGAGAGGGUGACCGGCCACACUGGGACUGAGACACGGCCCAGACUCCUACGGGAGGCAGCAGUGGGGAAUAUUGGACAAUGGGCGGAAGCCUGAUCCAGCAACGCCGCGUGAGGGAUGACG